UCAUGCAAGUCGAGCGAACAGAUAAGGAGCUUGCUCCUUUGACGUUAGCGGCGGACGGGUGAGUAACACGUGGGUAACCUACCUAUAAGACUGGGAUAACUUCGGGAAACCGGAGCUAAUACCGGAUAACAUUUGGAACCGCAUGGUUCUAAAGUGAAAGAUGGUUUUGCUAUCACUUAUAGAUGGACCCGCGCCGUAUUAGCUAGUUGGUAAGGUAACGGCUUACCAAGGCGACGAUACGUAGCCGACCUGAGAGGGUGAUCGGCCACACUGGAACUGAGACACGGUCCAG
RNAcentral lists this ribosomal RNA (292 nucleotides) under Staphylococcus saprophyticus. RNAcentral's name for it is "partial 16S ribosomal RNA". It matches the Rfam family "Bacterial small subunit ribosomal RNA", at positions 54 to 334 of the family's 1533-position model. Lineage: Bacteria; Bacillati; Bacillota; Bacilli; Caryophanales; Staphylococcaceae. The record is from RNAcentral.